GUAAGAUCGUUUGUUAAACAAAGGUAAAUAUUUGUCGACAUGUAAACCUACCUUUACUUGAUAAAACUAUAGUUCUCUGGUUUUGAGAAUCUGUGUCUUGCGAUAAUUAUUGACAUAACCUCUAACUAACCAUCUCUAAACUUAGAGCCUUUUAAAAGGAAAGCAAAAUGUCUAAUGGGCACAUUCUGGAAAUGUGCGAGAAUCGGAGAAAGGAAAUCACCAUGGGUAGCAGGAGCCUGUCUAAUUAUGGCCUUUUCUAUUUUAUUUCUAAGUUAGAAUAAAGUACCUCUUCAGAUA
Long non-coding RNA from Photinus pyralis (common eastern firefly), 297 nucleotides. RefSeq lists it as uncharacterized. The transcript is spliced from 2 exons. NCBI's taxonomy places the organism in Eukaryota, Metazoa, Arthropoda, Insecta, Coleoptera, Lampyridae. The record is from RefSeq and is a predicted model, not a curated record.